CAGUCGCCGCGGGAAUACGAAGGGGGCUAGCGUUGCUCGGAAUGACUGGGCGUAAAGGGCGCGUAGGCGGCGGCCAAAGUCAGGCGUGAAAUUCCUGGGCUCAACCUGGGGGCUGCGUUUGAUACUUGGUUGCUUGAGUGGGGAAGAGGGUCGUGGAAUUCCCAGUGUAGAGGUGAAAUUCGUAGAUAUUGGGAAGAACACCGGUGGCGAAGGCGGCGACCUGGUCCUUUACUGACGCUGAGGCGCGAAAGCGUGGGGAGCAAACAGGAUUAGAUACCCCCGUAGUCCCUGUCUCUUAUAC
This 301-nucleotide ribosomal RNA is filed under the name uncultured bacterium. RNAcentral's name for it is "partial 16S ribosomal RNA". It matches the Rfam family "Bacterial small subunit ribosomal RNA", at positions 509 to 807 of the family's 1533-position model. The record is from RNAcentral.